Long non-coding RNA from Sebastes umbrosus (honeycomb rockfish), 1199 nucleotides. RefSeq lists it as uncharacterized. The record is from RefSeq and is a predicted model, not a curated record. The transcript is spliced from 3 exons. NCBI's taxonomy places the organism in Eukaryota, Metazoa, Chordata, Actinopteri, Perciformes, Sebastidae.
ACACACACACACACACACACACACACACACACACAUUACACAACGCUCGAGGAGUCCAGCUCACAGUUUAUUCACAGUUACAUCUGCCAUCUGGACGAUGCCAUCAAAGCAUCAAGACUCGUUUCAGAGACAGCUUUUAGAUGCUCCAAAUGUGAGACCUAGUUGUGUAAUGCAUACAUUUACAGUAUAUUCAGUAUGCAAUAGUGCUUAAAUGCUUAUGUCAAUGCUUUAUACAGUUGCUUUUUUAUUUUAGUUUUACUGCAAGUGUAAUGCAUCUAGUAAGUUAUUGUGUAAUUUCACAGCCGGAGCCAAGGGGAUUCUUAUCACGUUUAAAUGUACAUAUCUUGAACAAACUUGAACUUGAACAUGAAGAAAUAAACACAAUAUCAACAUCCAACACUUUAGUCCAGAUAGCCAUUUCAUUAUUUGACCCACGCUGCUUUGUAAAACUCUCAAAGUGCCUGCAAAGCUAUUUGCUAAGGAGGUAAGUGGUACAUUGCAGCAUCUAUCACCCCUUGACACUGAGUAGCCCCUUGGGUACUUCGAAAACAAAGCCUAACUACCGUAACCUAGCAACAUUAUUCAGACUCCAUUAAGGAAAUGUGUUAUUUAGCGAACCAAGUGCAGCAAAUCAUGUGUCGUUUGGAUCACCGCUGGAUCUCAAUUUAACUGAGACACAAUGACUAACUACACUGGAGAGCUGACGCGAAGCAACUGGAUUUAGCAUGGUGUUGAGUUUCAGAUUGGAUCAUGGAAUAGCUCUCACAAUUGUGUCUACGUUGAUCUGAAACAAACAACAUAAAGUUGAAAAGCUACCCGAAGAACAGGACUGAAGAUCUCAAGGUGUCCUACCUGAACAGCAGCAUCAGAGCACCAGAGAAGGACUUGAAGUUGUUGUGCUGCGUAAUAUGAAGAAGAGCAUGGCGAUGAGCAGGCAGACGUAGGGCAAAGCCUUGAAGGAUUGGAUGAAGGUCCACAGAAGAAUCCGGAUGGUGUAACCUUGUCGGAGCAGUUUGAUCAGACGAGCCGCUCGGAACAGCUUCAAGAAACUCAUGUUGAACGUCUCAACAGACUGGCGCUGCACUCCUCCAUCAUCUUAUCCCCCUGUUCCUGGAAGGUGAUGAUGAUGAGAGCCACGAAGAUGUUGACGAAGAAGAAAGGAAAGACGACGAAGUAGAUGACGUAGAAGAUGGACAUCU